ACCAAACAGAAAAAGUAACACGGGUGCUCGCGGAAGAGGGGAGGCCGUGCGCGCGCGUGCGCGGCCGUUUCUAGGGCAACAGGGAGGUUUGGGGCGCGCGCCAGCGACGGAUCGCCGGCGUCCACACGGGCGGGAGGUUCGAAUCCCGGCGCUGCCCACGCUGGCCGCGUGGUUGCGCCUCCUUCUUGUCGCGCCUCGGCUUCCUCCUCUGUGAAAUGGGGAGCGCCUUUAGACCCACGCACUUGGCCGGGAUGCUUGGAAGGGUCCAGGUUCAACCGAGCUCCUGAUGGAAAGUUUCCUUGGGUCCUAUAGAGGACGCAGUAAAUGCGAGGGGGUAGCGUUGCUACUGGUGGUAAUAGUAUAGCGCGCCCCGUGAUAAAUUAUAGCCUGCUUUCUGCCUGCCGCCCGGCUCUGCGGGGCCUUGUUCUCCACCCUUUUAAACUUAAGUUCAGAUUUCACCUCCUCCAGGCAGCUGAGUCUGGCUUCCUGGCCUAAUUAGGCAGCCUCUCGGCCCCAUGAUUGGCCUUUUACUUAACACCAGAGCCAGUCCCUUGACCUUGAGCUUGAGGUCCUCGUUUGUAAUUAACAGUAGCUUCCACACUCCACGGCACUGACCUCACGCUUUUUGCCGCUCGGUUCUCCCGACAACUCAAAUUCCUGUGUCAUUUACUGAGGAGGAACAAAAGUUCAGAAAGGUCAGUUUCAUCCAGUUUUCAAAUGGCAGAGCUGAGGCUUUCAAAGUCAGCUUCCUCCAGCUUGGUGUGUUAUCCAAACUCUUGACCAUAAGAAGUGCUCGGCGUGUGUUUGUUGAAUGAGGGAGCUAACUGAUCGCCUCUCGCCCCUCCCAGCCUGGUUUUCUUGCAGAACCCAAGGCCCUUCGUGAAAUGCAAGCUUCAUGGCACGUGGGCUUACCUUUCACAACUGUCCUCCAGCUUCAUCUGAGCCUCCCGAUUCAUACUGAAAGCAGCUGUAGUGUCACCAGGAGAAGACAAUUGGAGCUUACGUUUGCUGGCCGUUAGGUGCCACUUCCCCGCCACCCAGAGCCACUUUUCUUGGCUUCUUCAGUUCAAGCCAGCAGCUUUGCAUGGUGCCCCCUACAUGGCAGGCAGGGAUAAAGAGCCAUUCACGUUUUGGUCCUGCCCUCAUCCUGGUGUUGUGACAGAUGCAGGCUUUGUGUGGCACGGAGUGACAGAGCGGAGUGGAGGGUUGGGCCCCCAAGUCCACAUGCUUUCUCAGUGUUGACAUAAGAGCGUCCAAAGCUGUAGACAAUUUUUAUAAUUUAUUUGAACCAAACAGGAGAUGCCUAGAAGCAAGAUCUCAACAGGCUGAGAAAAAUGGUUUCAACAAAUGAUAGUUUUCAGCUUCUUUUAUAGAUUUGAAAUUGAAGAGGGAACAUAAGGAAGAUUACAUGACUGUGGGAGAAACCAAGGCUGGGUUUGGAUUACAGCAGGGGUUCCUCCCCACCCCACCCCACCCCGGGGCUGUGGACCAGGAUGGUCUGUGGCCUGUUAGGAACCGGGCCGCACAGCAGGAGGUGAGCGGUGGGCUCUGUAUUUGCAGCCACUCCCCAGUGCCAGCAUCACCUCCUCAGCUCCACCUCAGAUCCUCAGGCAUCAAAUUCUCAUAGGAGCACAAGUCUUUGGUGCCAAACUGGCUGGGAACUGCUGGAUUCCAGGGUAGUUACAGGGUAGUAACAAGAUUAUGUGUUCUCUUGAAGGGGUGGUGACACUUUAAAGGCAGGGGUCUGAAAGGGGGCAUUUCCAAGGUGUGUUAGCCUAGAUGCACAGAAACAAGGAACAGGGCUUACGGCACAGAUAAGCCUUUCACCAAAGAAGUUUCAGGCCUGGGGCGCAGACUAUGCCAGGACCUGCCUAGGAGGGAAUUUAUGGUCAGAUCAUCCUGUGAGAUUCCUUUCCAUAGAACUCCUGUUGGUCCACAUUUGAAAAAGCGACUUCUUGAUUUGGUGCCUCCCCUCUCUCAACUCACUGAGCCACUGGUGAGUCACAGAACUGACUGCCCACCUCUCCUCUCCUGGCGUUGACCUAACAGUUUUCAGUAAGAAACCCGGGCAUUCGUGGUAGUUUCCUUCACUUUCCAGCUGUACUAAAUGAGAAAUGAUCAUAUUUUUAAAGAUGUUGCCGUCAAACUGUGGUCAGCUAAUUUCUGAAGCGCUUCCUCUUUUGCGUGACUGUCAGGUUAAAUUGGAGAGGCGGUGCAGUAACUCACAGGAUGGAGUCGCGUAUGGUCGAUGAGGUCCAGCUUUUGGAUGGUAAACUAGCUGAGAUGGUCAUCUCUGGCAAGCGUCAGCUUCAAGAGCUGGAACAGGUGGGCGGGUGGAAGGAGCCUGCUCUGGGUACGAGAUCUGCUCUUCACCAGAUUCCGGACCUGCUCCGAGUCACGUAACAGCAGCCUGUCCCCUGCUCUGGUGGGGGCAGGGCACACUGUGACACUGUUACCCACCCCUUCCCUACCUGGAUCCAGCCUCUCCAUCGCGUAGCUCAGUACAUUGUCUCUACUCACUUCUUGAAAACAUUUGUGGAUGGAAAGGUGGGAUAGAUUUUGAUUAAAUUUUUAAAAGAAAAAAUCUGGGAAUGAAGCAAAUAGACAUUAAAUAUUUAUUGCAGAAUUGAA
Pteropus alecto (black flying fox) is the source of this 2631-nucleotide long non-coding RNA. RefSeq lists it as uncharacterized. The record is from RefSeq and is a predicted model, not a curated record. NCBI's taxonomy places the organism in Eukaryota, Metazoa, Chordata, Mammalia, Chiroptera, Pteropodidae. The transcript has 2 exons.